GGGGUACAGCUCAGUUGGUAGAGUGCUUGCCUUGCAUGCACAAGGGUCCUGGGUUCAAUCUCCAGUGCCACA
RNAcentral lists this transfer RNA (72 nucleotides) under Marmota monax (woodchuck). RNAcentral's name for it is "tRNA.Ala". The record is from RNAcentral. Lineage: Eukaryota; Metazoa; Chordata; Mammalia; Rodentia; Sciuridae.